UGGGGAAUAUUGCACAAUGGGCGCAAGCCUGAUGCAGCGACGCCGCGUGAGGGAUGACGGCCUUCGGGUUGUAAACCUCUUUCAAAUAGGGACGAAGCGCAAGUGACGGUACCUAUAGAAGAAGGACCGGCCAACUACGUGCCAGCAGCCGCGGUAAUACGUAGGGUCCGAGCGUUGUCCGGAAUUACUGGGCGUAAAGAGCUCGUAGGUGGUUUGUCGCGUUGUUCGUGAAAACUCACAGCUUAACUGUGGGCGUGCGGGCGAUACGGGCAGACUAGAGUACUGCAGGGGAGACUGGAAUUCCUGGUGUAGCGGUGGAAUGCGCAGAUAUCAGGAGGAACACCGGUGGCGAAGGCGGGUCUCUGGGCAGUAACUGACGCUGAGGAGCGAAAGCGUGGGGAGCGAACAGGAUUAGAUACCCUGGUAGUCCACGCCGUAAACGGU
Molecule: ribosomal RNA, 444 nt
Filed under: uncultured bacterium
Lineage: Bacteria
Description: partial 16S ribosomal RNA
Rfam family: Bacterial small subunit ribosomal RNA
Source: RNAcentral